UGCCAAAUCUUGGACUUGUAAGGGAAUUCGGCUUUACACGAUGUUGGCUUUGUGUUUAUUCACUAAUGACUUCUUGUAUAUUUGUAAAUUGCAAGAAGUUUUCGUUCGAGGAAAGGAAUAUUCUGUCAAACACAGUGACAAUAAAAAAUAUGUGACACGUGUACUAGCGAUAAGCCAAAAUGAACCGUUCUUGAGCAAAUUCAAGUCAAAUAUAGAAGGUGGUGCACGGAAGGAAAUCGAGGGGUACUUGACCCUUGAGCAUGACAGAUUGAUGUCUUAUUCGCAGGUGUCCAAAACAGUCAUUGAACAUGCAGAUGAUUUUAUUUUUGCGGACAAAUCUAUUUGUUCGGAUAUCAAUGGGGACUCAGGCAUACGUGUAUGAGUACUGAACUGGGCGAAUGAGCAAGAAGACUUCUUCGAUAAGGGAUAUGGAUUCAUUGCAUAAAGGAUACCGAUUCAUUUUAUCCUCGUAGAUUCAACGAGAAAACCAUGUAUUGGUGCCUUGAAAAUUAAUUGGAUAUUUCUUUCAAUGUCGAAUUCUAUCCAAGACUUCAGACAUCAUUUCCUCGACCCAUGAACAAAUACUCAUCCGCAAUUUUGGAAGGUAAAACUGAGGGAUUCCUCUAAAGGCACCAUCAGUACUAUCUCACCUUCAGCAUUCCAACCAAAAAAAAAGAACAGCAUUGUCUUCACUAAUCCCUCCCAGCGACACAUCUCCACUAAAUUUUCGAAUUCGAAAGACAGAUGAACAACGUCAUUGCCCAUUGGACUCCAGUCAUGUUGGAGAUAAUAAUACCUCACUAUCACAGGAAAAAUGGACAGAAACACUGGGGACUAUCAUAGUAACACUCUCAGGCACCCCCGACGGGAGCAUCAAUUCCAAACAACGGCCGAGCCUCGAUCAGUUUUCUCCAUACGACGAUCAAGACGAUUUCUCAGAAGAAAAGAAUUCUUCGUUGAUCACAGCUUCAAAUUUAAAGAUGCUUGAAAUGAUUAUUAAGGAUUGUCAAUCCCGAGUAUCUGAUGAGGGCGCAUUUGCGUCUGCCUGGUAGAUUUUUCAUUGAACCUUUAUCAAGAACCUCUCCGAUGUAUAUACCCCUGAUCACUACCAUGUUUUCAAUGCUGCUGUGCAGGUCAUCGCAGGGUAUAAUCCAGAGCAAAGGACAUACAGGAGUUCAGCAGCAGGCUCCUAUCUUAGAAAACUACUGACGAAAGUUGGCGGAAUCCAUCGAUCUGAAUGUAUAGAAAGAGGCAUGCACAAGGAACAGAAAAAGACUGAAGAGUUUUUGAAAUUAUUAUCGGAUGAUUUUAGCACUCAAAACAAGAAGGUAGU
RNA transcript from Fopius arisanus, 1333 nucleotides. RefSeq lists it as uncharacterized. The transcript has 5 exons. The record is from RefSeq and is a predicted model, not a curated record. NCBI's taxonomy places the organism in Eukaryota, Metazoa, Arthropoda, Insecta, Hymenoptera, Braconidae.